GUACACUCCUACGGGAGGCAGCAGUGGGGAAUAUUGGACAAUGGGCGCAAGCCUGAUCCAGCCAUGCCGCGUGAGUGAUGAAGGCCCUAGGGUUGUAAAGCUCUUUCACCGGAGAAGAUAAUGACGGUAUCCGGAGAAGAAGCCCCGGCUAACUUCGUGCCAGCAGCCGCGGUAAUACGAAGGGGGCUAGCGUUGUUCGGAAUUACUGGGCGUAAAGCGCACGUAGGCGGAUCGAUCAGUCAGGGGUGAAAUCCCAGGGCUCAACCCUGGAACUGCCUUUGAUACUGUCGAUCUGGAGUAUGGAAGAGGUGAGUGGAAUUCCGAGUGUAGAGGUGAAAUUCGUAGAUAUUCGGAGGAACACCAGUGGCGAAGGCGGCUCACUGGUCCAUUACUGACGCUGAGGUGCGAAAGCGUGGGGAGCAAACAGGAUUAGAAACCCCAGUAGUCCCAU
Molecule: ribosomal RNA, 451 nt
Filed under: uncultured organism
Description: partial 16S ribosomal RNA
Rfam family: Bacterial small subunit ribosomal RNA
Source: RNAcentral